CGAUUAACCGAACGUUUCCACGGUCGUUUCACGAGCCGUUAUAAAGGCCGGCUUGUUAGACGAGAUGCUCCACGUAAGAGACAUACACCGAUUUUACACUCCGUCGGUGUUCGUGGUCGCGGUGCAAAACCGCGAACAUUUUUCGCGCCUCGAUGAAAAAGACGAGAAGAAGAAGAAGAAGAAGAAGAAGAAGAAAAAGAAGAGAAGAAAAAAGAAGCAGAAAAAAAGAAAUGGAUGCCUUCGAUCGCGACUACAAUGUUCUUGAUUCCUAUAUACCGGUAUGGGUGCGUGUGUGAAGAAGAGGUUGAGAAUCGUGUGCAAAGAGAAGAGAAGAAGUCACGAAUUGCUUUGUUGCCAAGUCCUCGUCUCCGAUGGAUUCUACAGAUGCUUCGAGAUAAAACCUGUGUGUCUUUGGAUAUAACACAUAUUUAU
Long non-coding RNA from Vespa velutina, 432 nucleotides. RefSeq lists it as uncharacterized. The record is from RefSeq and is a predicted model, not a curated record. The transcript has 2 exons. NCBI's taxonomy places the organism in Eukaryota, Metazoa, Arthropoda, Insecta, Hymenoptera, Vespidae.